RNAcentral lists this ribosomal RNA (780 nucleotides) under uncultured bacterium. RNAcentral describes it as "bacterial SSU rRNA". It matches the Rfam family "Bacterial small subunit ribosomal RNA", at positions 55 to 826 of the family's 1533-position model. The record is from RNAcentral.
AUGCAAGUCGAACGGUAGCACAGAGAGCUUGCUCUCGGGUGACGAGUGGCGGACGGGUGAGUAAUGUCUGGGAAACUGCCUGAUGGAGGGGGAUAACUACUGGAAACGGUAGCUAAUACCGCAUAACGUCGCAAGACCAAAGAGGGGGACCUUCGGGCCUCUUGCCAUCAGAUGUGCCCAGAUGGGAUUAGCUAGUAGGUGGGGUAACGGCUCACCUAGGCGACGAUCCCUAGCUGGUCUGAGAGGAUGACCAGCCACACUGGAACUGAGACACGGUCCAGACUCCUACGGGAGGCAGCAGUGGGGAAUAUUGCACAAUGGGCGCAAGCCUGAUGCAGCCAUGCCGCGUGUGUGAAGAAGGCCUGCGGGUUGUAAAGCACUUUUAUUAGGAAAGAAAAACCCGGAGCUAAUACCUCCGGCAUUGACGGUACCUAAAGAAUAAGCACCGGCUAACUAAGUGCCAGCAGCCGCGGUAAUACUUAGGGUGCGAGCGUUAAUCGGAAUUACUGGGCGUAAAGCGAGUGUAGGCGGCUGCGUAAGUCGGAUGUGAAAGCCCUGGGCUUAACCUGGGAACUGCAUUCGAAACUGCGUAGCUAGAGUUUGGUAGAGGUAAGUGGAAUUCCGGGUGUAGCGGUGAAAUGCGUAGAUAUCCGGAGGAACAUCAGUGGCGAAAGGCGGCUUACUGGAUCAAAACUGACGCUGAGGCUCGAAAGCGUGGGGAGCAAACAGGAUUAGAUACCCUGGUAGUCCACGCCCUAAACGAUGUCAACUAGACGUUGG